RNAcentral lists this ribosomal RNA (119 nucleotides) under uncultured bacterium. RNAcentral describes it as "partial 16S ribosomal RNA". It matches the Rfam family "Bacterial small subunit ribosomal RNA", at positions 1367 to 1482 of the family's 1533-position model. The record is from RNAcentral.
UACGUUCCCGGGCCUUGUACACACCGGCCCGUCACACCACGAAAGUCGGCAACACCCGAAGCCGGUGGCCUAACCCGCAAGGGAGGGAACCGUCGAAGGUGGGGUUGAUGAUUGGGGUG